RNAcentral lists this transfer RNA (70 nucleotides) under Bactericera cockerelli (potato/tomato psyllid). RNAcentral's name for it is "tRNA-Lys". Lineage: Eukaryota; Metazoa; Arthropoda; Insecta; Hemiptera; Triozidae. The record is from RNAcentral.
UAUUUAGUGACUGAAAGGCAAGUAAUGGUCUCUUAAACCACUUUAUGGUACCCGCAAUUACCCUAAAUAA